GAUGAGCGCUGGCGGCGUGCCUAAUACAUGCAAGUCGAGCGAACAGAUAAGGAGCUUGCUCCUUUGACGUUAGCGGCGGACGGGUGAGUAACACGUGGAUAACCUACCUAUAAGACUGGGAUAACUUCGGGAAACCGGAGCUAAUACCGGAUAACAUAUUGAACCGCAUGGUUCAAUAGUGAAAGGCGGCUUUGCUGCCACUUAUAGAUGGAUCCGCGCCGUAUUAGCUAGUUGGUAAGGUAACGGCUUACCAAGGCAACGAUACGUAGCCGACCUGAGAGGGUGAUCGGCCACACUGGAACUGAGACACGGUCCAGACUCCUACGGGAGGCAGCAGUAGGGAAUCUUCCGCAAUGGGCGAAAGCCUGACGGAGCAACGCCGCGUGAGUGAUGAAGGUCUUCGGAUCGUAAAACUCUGUUAUCAGGGAAGAACAAAUGUGUAAGUAACUGUGCACAUCUUGACGGUACCUGAUCAGAAAGCCACGGCUAACUACGU
RNAcentral lists this ribosomal RNA (496 nucleotides) under uncultured bacterium. Its description in RNAcentral is "partial 16S ribosomal RNA". It matches the Rfam family "Bacterial small subunit ribosomal RNA", at positions 28 to 506 of the family's 1533-position model. The record is from RNAcentral.